CUUGUAUUCACACAGACUGUGUAUGUGUAUUUAAAACAUCUGGAGCGUUACGAUCACAUCUUUCAAGAUCACACUCAGUAGUGAAAAUCCACAAAAAUUCAACAUUUCAGUGCGAAUUGUGUGAUUUUAAGGAGAUUUGCAGUGAAAAGACUUUGGAACCAUCUUGGACAUCAUUUAAAGAACCAAGAAACUGUACAAUGUCCCUUUCUAAGGUGUACCUUUAAAACAAACAUUCGCCCAACCUUCAGUUCUCACAGAAGUCGAAACCAUAAAAGUUGUACACUUGAGGAUUUUCGAACAAUUGCAAGAGCUGUUCCUGAAGAUAAGAUAAUUGAAAGUGAGCAAUCUGAUAGUGAAGUAGGAACAUCAGCUUAUAAUAUUGUGAGACCAGAUGAGGUUGAAGAGAUUGUAGAUGUGGAUAGUGAGACACUUGAACACAAAUUGGCUUCUCUCUUUCUGUGUAUGCAAACAGUGUUGCAUGUUUCUCGAGCUGCAACACAAAAGACUGUAGAGGAUUUGCAUAACCUGCUCUCUUUCUCUAACAUUCAUACUCUCAGCAGUGUCAAAGAGAUCCUUUCAAAACAUGAAACUGAAGUAAAUGAUUGUGUUUUGCAAGAAAUUUCUAAUGCUAUAGUUCAAACUAAUCCACUCCUUUUAACAACAAUAGAGAAGGGUUCCCUAUCUACAGAUCACCGAAGAAAUAUAUAUUUCAAAGGGCACUUUUCUGUUGUAGAACCCACAGAAUAUCUGUACAACACAGCUCAUAAAAACUUUUGUUUAGAUACUUGAGACUUUACUCAGCCGGCAGAUUUUUGAACCAAAUUGUAUUUAAUCAAGAAGCUUUAUCUGGACCCUUAAGUCUUUUCAAGACGGCAAGUAUUACAAGGACAAUAAGCUACUGGGACAGCAAAACCUCUAUCAGUUUGGCAUUAUAUAUUGAUGAUUUUGAAGUUUGUAAUCCACUGGGCACGUCUAGAAAACUUCAUAAGAUUACUGCAGUAUAUAGGGUAGUUCUAAAUUUACCAGCCAGAUUCCGAUCGAAUCUCAGUUCAAUUCAGCUAGCUCUCUUAGGUAAAAGUGUGGAUGUCAGUAUGGUUAUGAAAAGUUUUUUGAGCCAUUGAUUAAAGAUAUAAGGUGUCUAGAACAAGAGGGAAUUUUUGUUGAAGUUGUGGGUCAGUUUGUUAAGGGCACUGUAUAUUGUGUAAGUGCCGAUAACCUUGGUGCACACGGUCAGGCUUUUAUGAAAGUUUUACUGUUGACAACUUGUGUCGCUUUUGUUUGAUAAGUUGGGACCAAAUUGCAACCACUGAAGUUAAUGAUUUCCAAAUGAGGGGUGUUGAUCAACACAAUAAAUUUCUGGAAGAGCUUAGGCAGAAUGACAACCUCCAAAGUAUUAAUGGGGUAAAAAGGGAAUGUGUACUGGGCAAACAUCUACUGUUCUUUCACCCAAUAACCGGAUUUCCUCCAGAUGUUUUGCAUGACCUUUUUGAAGGAGUCAUCCCUUUGGAAUUGUCCUUAUGUUUGAAAAAUCUGAUUUCAAAAGGUUUCAUUACAUGUGAUGCAUUGAACAACUGCAUAAAAUCAUUUCCCUACAAAUAUUCAGACAAAGUAAACAAGCCUAAAAAAAUUCCCAAAGCAAGCUUUGAAAAAGGAACAGUUGCCGGUAAUGGACAUGAAAAUUGGACACUGCUGCGCUUACUUCCUUUUAUAAUUGGAUGUAAGAUACCAGAACAGGAGCCAGCAUGGGAGAUUUUAAUGGACCUCAAGGAAAUUGUUGACAUUAUUGUGUCAGACAGACUCUCUGAGGAAGCAUUAGGUUAUUUAUCUUGCAAACUACUGGCUCAUCACCUGUUGCUCACCCGUACCUUUCCAGAAUUCAGACUGAGGCCAAAACACCACUUCAUCGACCACUACCCACAUCUUAUUCGCUGCUAUGGGCCUUUAGUGGAAUUGUGGACAAUGAGAUUCGAAGCAAAACAUAGCUUCUUUAAAAAGGUGGUCCAUGACACUCACAACUGGAAAAAUGUGCUGCUCACUCUUUCCUCAAAACACCAGCAGAUGAUGGCAUACCAUCUGGAUAGUGGAAACCUUUUCAAGCCAAAACUCUAUGUUGAAAAUGUGAUAGUGGUCAGAGUUUCAGAAUUGGAUCCAUCACUCAAGCGUGAAAUACAGAAGAAGUACCCUCAUCUAGACGGUGUGUCUCUGUCUAAAACGAUUCACCUGCGUGGGACACAGUAUGUGGUGGGCAUGAUUUUAUCUGCUGGGCAAUGCAGUGGCCUCCCAGAAUUUCAUAAGAUUGUGACCAUUCUUGUCAAUGCCGAGGAGGUGACAUUCAUUUGUAAAAGACUGUCUUCCUGGUACAUUGAACAUUUCAGGUCCUAUGAGCUUGUUGAACACACCAUUGCCGACCUUCUUGCCCUGGAUCCAGAUGUGCUGACGGAUUACCACUCUCUAACAGCAUACACAGUUGGUGGAAAGCUGAUGGUGACCCCAAGGACGUUCCUUCUCCAUUAAAGCAACUCAAAAUGACUUUGCUACUUCGGGUAGUUCUUUCCUCCAGAGAUGUCCGGCGAGUCCACCUUCCUGAAGUACCAGCAUCUGUGGGGCAGUUGAUUGAUAUACUUAAAGAGAGACUUGAACUUCCAGGUGAUUUCUCACUACAGUUUGAGGAUCCAGAGUUUGGAAAUGCACUAUGCUACUUGACGGCAAUAUCUGAAUUACCAUCUGAGCGUGCAGUCCUGCAUAUAAUGUGGAAUUGUGAUUCAUCUCCACUUAACCAAUCCACUGCUUCAGUGUCCUCUGCUUCAGUCUCCUCCCAGGACACAGUAAGUGUUCACUCUGAAGAUUUCAGGCCUAGCUGGACCGAUUCUAUCCAGAUGAACUUAAACUUGAACUUGCCUCAGAGUGGCCCUCUCCAUUUCCUAUCCCAAGGUUUUCAUAUGAUGUUGAACUGAAAUUGUGUAAGGCUAAUGUGAUAUAUGAAAAAUCUAAGAAGGGCCUUGUAGUGACAAGAGACAUGAAGACAGAGAUUUUGGAUAAAAUUGCACAGGCAGUUUUUGAAAUUAAAGGCUACCCCGAGAAAGAUGAGCUUGAGUCACUUGCUUCUGCGCUGGUUCUCAAGUAUCCAUGUCUGAAGGAGCCAGAUAGCAUCACAGGCUACGAGGGAUGGAAAGCAAGUAUCAAACACAAACUUGGAAAGUACAGAUCAAAGCUUCGUCAAGCAUGCUGCAAUGAGGUAAAUGUAAACAGGAAAAGAAAAGGGAGAGAUGAAGAGGGCAGUACUUUCACCCUUAAAAAGCCCAAACGUGGAGAGGUCAGUCAUGUCCCAGAUCAUCCACAACACCAUGAUGAUUCUACUCUUGAAAAGGAAAGAGUUGCUUUGGUCGAUGAAAUGAAGAAGAAACAAAAGAACAUAACAGUCAUACAGCAGAAGAUGGCGCUGACAUUUUCCCUCAGGCGGAGAGAGGUCGUGGCGUGUCAACCUAACCUAUCUGAGGUCCAGGAAAGAUGGCCUGCACUGUUUUCCUCUGAGGAGAUAUCUGAAGAAUUUCAUCGCAUCACGAGCAAAGACCUUCUGGGGACUUUCAAUGCAUCCCUUGACAAAUUUGUGCCUGGCCUGCUGAAACUGUACCGGUCUAAGAAGGGAGCUCUUGGUGAGAAGAUGGAAGACCUCCUGGAUAAACUUGAUGAACAGAUGAGUGAAGUGCUCCUGUGCCUGGCAUUUUUAAAAGAGACACUGACAUUUUGGAACCAGUGCUAAACGGUGCAUCUGUUGCCAUCCUCACCAUCCUACAAGAUGACGAUGCCGGGAUGUCUGUGCGAGACCAGGCAGUUGUGUUGGAAGGGGACAUCGUGCUACAUAACAUUCCAGACCUCUCUACUGCCUUGACAUACCUCUUUGGCCUUCUGUAUGCCCUCAACAUUGAUUAUCCAAAGGAGAUGAGGUAUACCUUUGAAGCAAUUCAGGCCAUCUUUUUUGAGCUCGGUGGCUCUCGAUGCUCACAGCGCAUAAGGUCCCUGAAAACAAAGCUUUUGCUGUGACUGUUAAUGGGGAAGCCAGACACGACUUUAACUUGUGUUCUUUAGCCUGUUCAAGUGCUUUGUAGUUGGGUCAUGUAACAGACAGAAGUUAAACCCCUUUGCCUCUGAUAUAAUCAUUUGACAGUUACCAAGAGUUGCAUAUUUAGUGUUUGAACUGUUGAUAUUCAUUACUGUUCAAGUAAAACUAAUGUAUGUUUGUAAAAAAAAAAACCUUCAUCUCUCUUUCAACUGGCAUAAGGAUGAGGAGGUGAUGGAAAGUUUUAUUUUAAAGUGAACUGUUCUUUAACCCUCCUGUUGUCCUUGGGUCAAGGAAUGAAGAAGAAGGAAGGAAGGAAAGGAGGGAGGGAGGAAGGAAGGGAAGAGGAAGGAGGGGAGAAAAGAAGGAAGGAGGGGGAGAAGAAGGAAGGAAUGAACAGUCAAAACAGAAUGGGUAUUUUGACCUGGUUGGACAAUAUGAAGGUUAAGUGGGUAAAUCUUUAUUAGAAAUAUCAAUUGUAGUCAGAGGAAU
This is an RNA transcript of Thalassophryne amazonica, 4549 nucleotides long. RefSeq lists it as uncharacterized. The record is from RefSeq and is a predicted model, not a curated record. NCBI's taxonomy places the organism in Eukaryota, Metazoa, Chordata, Actinopteri, Batrachoidiformes, Batrachoididae. The transcript has 4 exons.